CAGAUAAUAGUGACAAAAUGACACCAGAACUCAGGAUUGAAACCUUUCUUCCACCUUCUCUUCCACACUGGUUUGAACUGAGCUCCAAGGGUUCCUCUAUUGGACACUCCUUUUUUGUUUCCUAGGCCAGUGGUCUUGGACAAUGAGCUUGGGCAGUGUUCCAAAGUUGAACUCUUCUGUGACAGUGCUGCUGCCACCUCAGGUAACCGGAAUGGAAGAAGAAGGAAAGCAAUUCCAUCUUCAGUGACCUGAGUAAAGCCGUCUUCCUUAGCCACAUGUGGAGAAUUGUUCUCAUUAUGACGAUUUGAAUGUCAUAAAUCUUUGUGCUUCGACAGUGACAUAGAGUAAAGCCUCAUUAAUUAAGGCCUCACUGAUUCAGAAUUUAAGAUAAUUUGUUCAUAGGCCAAGCUGAAAUUUACAUUUGCACUAUCUAUGAAAAAAGGGUUCAUUAAGUAAAUCAAUAAAGUAAGGAAGAUUGCAGGAAGCCUG
This 489-nucleotide long non-coding RNA is filed under the name Rhinopithecus bieti (black snub-nosed monkey). Its description in RNAcentral is "lncRNA (ENSRBIG00000046362.1)". Lineage: Eukaryota; Metazoa; Chordata; Mammalia; Primates; Cercopithecidae. The record is from RNAcentral.